GAGACAAACCAUAAGAGACUCAAUCUCAGGAAACAAACUGAGGGUUGCUAGGGGUGGGCGAUAGGGUGUCUGGGUCAUAGACAUUGGGGAGGGUAUAUGCUAUGGUGAGUGCUGUAAAUUGUGUAAGAUUGAUGUUUCAUAGGCCUGCGGCCU
Molecule: long non-coding RNA, 153 nt
Organism: Mustela erminea (ermine)
Lineage: Eukaryota; Metazoa; Chordata; Mammalia; Carnivora; Mustelidae
Exons: 4
Source: RefSeq, a predicted model, not a curated record